CCUACGGGGGGCAGCAGUGAGGAAUAUCGGUCAAUGGACGCAAGUCUGAACCAGCCAUGCCGCGUGCAGGAAGACGGCCCUAUGAGUUGUAAACUGCUUUUGUACGAGGGUAAACGCAGAUACGCGUAUCUGUCUGAAAGUAUCGUACGAAUAAGGAUCGGCUAACUCCGUGCCAGCAGCCGCGGUAAUACGGAGGAUUCAAGCGUUAUCCGGAUUUAUUGGGUUUAAAGGGUGCGUAGGCGGUCUGAUAAGUUAGAGGUGAAAUCCCGGGGCUCAACUUCGGAAUUGCCUCUGAUACUGUCCGGCUAGAGAGUAGGUGCGGUAGGCGGAAUGUAUGGUGUAGCGGUGAAAUGCUUAGAGAUCAUACAGAACACCGAUUGCGAAGGCAGCUUACCAAGCUACUUCUGACGUUGAGGCACGAAAGCGUGGGGAGCAAACAGGAUUAGAUACCCCGGUAGUC
Molecule: ribosomal RNA, 460 nt
Filed under: uncultured bacterium
Lineage: Bacteria
Description: partial 16S ribosomal RNA
Rfam family: Bacterial small subunit ribosomal RNA
Source: RNAcentral